RNAcentral lists this ribosomal RNA (904 nucleotides) under uncultured bacterium. RNAcentral's name for it is "bacterial SSU rRNA". It matches the Rfam family "Bacterial small subunit ribosomal RNA", at positions 8 to 916 of the family's 1533-position model. The record is from RNAcentral.
AGAGUUUGAUCAUGGCUCAGGAUGAACGCUAGCGGCAGGCUUAACACAUGCAAGUCGAGGGGGGAUGAUUUCUUCGGAGAUAGAGACCGGCGCACGGGUGCGUAACGCGUAUGCAAUCUGCCUUUCACAGAGGGAUAGCCCAGAGAAAUUUGGAUUAAUACCUCAUAGUAUAAUCAAGCUGCAUGGUUUAAUUAUUAAAGUCACAACGGUGAAAGAUGAGGGGGCGUCCCAUUAGCUAGUUGGUAAGGUAACGGCUUACCAAGGCAACGAUGGGUAGGGGUCCUGAGAGGGAGAUCCCCCACACUGGUACUGAGACACGGACCAGACUCCUACGGGAGACAGCAGUGAGGAAUAUUGGACAAUGGGCGCAAGCCUGAUCCAGCCAUGCCGCGUGCAGGAUGACGGUCCUAUGGAUUGUAAACUGCUUUUGUACGAGAAGAAACACUCCUAUGUAUAGGAGCUUGACGGUAUCGUAAGAAUAAGGACCGGCUAACUCCGUGCCAGCAGCCGCGGUAAUACGGAGGAUCCAAGCGUUAUCCGGAAUCAUUGGGUUUAAAGGGUCCGUAGGCGGUUUAGUAAGUCAGUGGUGAAAGCCCAUCGCUCAACGGUGGAACGGCCAUUGAUACUGCUGAACUUGAAUUAUUAGGAAGUAACUAGAAUAUGUAGUGUAGCGGUGAAAUGCUUAGAGAUUACAUGGAAUACCAAUUGCGAAGGCAGGUUACUACUAAUUGAUUGACGCUGAUGGACGAAAGCGUGGGGAGCGAACAGGAUUAGAUACCCUGGUAGUCCACGCCGUAGACGAUGGAUACUAGCUGUUGGGAGCAAUCUCAGUGGCUAAGCGAAAGUGAUAAGUAUCCCACCUGGGGAGUACGUUCGCAAGAAUGAAACUCAAAUGAAUUGACGG